GGAGUGAGACUGUGGGAGCUAAGUUCCAUGGUCGAGAGGGAAACAACCCAGAUCGCCAGCUAAGGCCCCUAAUUCCAGGCUUAGUGUGAAACGAUGUGCGAUUGCCCAGACAGCCAGGAGGUUGGCUUAGAAGCAGCCAUCCUUGAAAGAGUGCGUAAUAGCUCACUGGUCGAGUGAUCGCGCGCGGAUAAUUUACCGGGGCUCAAGCCUGGAGCCGAAGCUGCGGAUCGGUCAGUAUCUUUGAUACUGGCUGGUGGUAGGGGAGCGUUGUCAGCGCAGCGAAGUCAACUCGUAAGGGUUGGUGGAGUGCUGAGAAGUGAGAAUGCCGGCAUGAGUAGCGUAAGGGAGGUGAGUAAGCGUCCCCACCGUAUGGCCGAGGUUUCCGGCGCAAGGUUCAUCCUCGGCGGGUUAGUCGGGCCUAAGCCGAGGCCGAAGGGCGUAGGCGAUGGACAAACGGUUGAUAUUCCGUUACCGCUCGCGGACGAUUCAGUCCCAGGUGUGUGCGGGGUGUGCUAAGCCGAGCGCAGUGUUGGAGAUACUGCGUCUAACUGUGCAGGCGGCCCAGGUACAACUGGGUUGCCGAGGCAGGGGAAAGCCCGUCAAGGGCAAUUCGGCCCACGCUCGCCUCCAAGAAAAGCACGGCUGGGGAUGCCGCGAGCGCCCGUACCGCAAACCGACACUGGUGGCCGGGCAUAAAUGUGCCAAGGUGGACGAGUGAUCCCUCGUUAAGGAACUAGGCAAGUUAACCCCGUAACUUCGGGAGAAGGGGUGCCGCAUGCUCGUGUAAGCCCUCGCGGCUGAAGCGAGAAGCGGCCGCAGCGAAUCGGCUCAAGCGACUGUUUACCAAAAACACAGCUCCCUGCUAACGCGGAAGCGGACGUAUAGGGGGUGACGCCUGCCCGAUGCCGGAAGGUCAAGGGGAGGGGUGAUGAGCCCCGAACCGAAGCCCCGGUCAAUGGCGGCCGUAACUAUAACGGUG
This 979-nucleotide ribosomal RNA is filed under the name Chloroflexota bacterium. RNAcentral describes it as "Chloroflexi bacterium partial 23S ribosomal RNA". It matches the Rfam family "Bacterial large subunit ribosomal RNA", at positions 980 to 1950 of the family's 2925-position model. The record is from RNAcentral. Lineage: Bacteria; Bacillati; Chloroflexota.